This 598-nucleotide unclassified non-coding RNA is filed under the name Aspergillus aureolus. RNAcentral describes it as "sequence contains 18S rRNA gene, ITS1, 5.8S rRNA gene, ITS2, 28S rRNA gene". The stretch from base 229 to 382 matches the Rfam family "5.8S ribosomal RNA". Lineage: Eukaryota; Fungi; Ascomycota; Eurotiomycetes; Eurotiales; Aspergillaceae. The record is from RNAcentral.
UCGUAACAAGGUUUCCGUAGGUGAACCUGCGGAAGGAUCAUUACCGAGUGAGGGCCCUCUGGGUCCAACCUCCCACCCGUGUCUAUCGUACCUUGUUGCUUCGGCGGGCCCGCCGUUUCGACGGCCGCCGGGGAGGCCUCGCGCCCCCGGGCCCGCGCCCGCCGAAGACCCCAACAUGAACUCUGUUCUGAAAGUAUGCAGUCUGAGUUGAUUAUCAUAAUCAGUUAAAACUUUCAACAACGGAUCUCUUGGUUCCGGCAUCGAUGAAGAACGCAGCGAAAUGCGAUAAGUAAUGUGAAUUGCAGAAUUCAGUGAAUCAUCGAGUCUUUGAACGCACAUUGCGCCCCCUGGUAUUCCGGGGGGCAUGCCUGUCCGAGCGUCAUUGCUGCCCUCAAGCACGGCUUGUGUGUUGGGCCCCCGUCCCCGGUUUCCCCCGGGGACGGGCCCGAAAGGCAGCGGCGGCACCGCGUCCGGUCCUCGAGCGUAUGGGGCUUUGUCACCCGCUCUGUAGGCCCGGCCGGCGCCAGCCGACACCCAACUUUAUUUCUAAGGUUGACCUCGGAUCAGGUAGGGAUACCCGCUGAACCUAAGCAUAUCA